GCCACGUAACAGUUAUUAUUAAAAGAAAUCUAUAUGCUGCAUCUACGUGUCGCUCGUGCCUCAGUCACGUAAAUAGCAACGUCGGUCGGUCGGUCGGCCGUCAAUAUAAAACUUCUAUCUGGUAACGACACCGUUCGGCAAUGUCACGGGUAUGCGAGGCUGUUUCUACCACUAAAGCGGGCAGAUGGACAUGAUACGGAAUAAUUACUGGCCAGAGCGUGAUAUUAUGCAAUGGCCAGCCGCGAUAGAACGUCUCUUCGUGCACCGAAGCUCCCAUAUGAAACAAUAUGCAGAGAUGUCCCAGAUCGAUCAGGGUCGCCGCGACGGAAAGCCGGACUGAUCAGCGUCUAGCUGGUCAAGGGAUGCGAAGUGAUGCAUUCCGCAGGCCGUAAAGAAGAUGGGGAGAUGAAAAAAUCGGGCAAUAGUGGCCCAUUAUCAACUAUUAUCAUAUAAGUAGUGUGCUACGAUACUACGAAGAACUGCAGAUUAUAAGCUACCGGUUCCAGUGUGCCGAACUUUCGCUUUCCGUCUAGGGGAUCGCAUGCACGACGCCAUCUAUGGGAUGUCAUACAUUUUCGAAGACAACAUCGAACAACAACAAUACGUCUAUGGCAGUUGGCAUAUGUAUGCACAGCACUCCUUAUGUACCUGUAUUUCGGUGCCUCAGUGAGUGCUACGAUAUUUAUAUGCGAAUGGGUGGUCUCACUACUGAGCGAACUGAGACUGACGAUGAGGCGAAAUUGAAGAUUAACAACAGGGCUUAGCGGGACUCAUCUUGUUACAUCGAGAGGGGAAAUUUUUGUUUCGCUAAAAUUGUGCGUUUGCUUGAGACAGUCCUAUUAUGGUGUGUCAUACAGGACAGAAACGAUAGAUUAGAGAGGAAUUUUAGAUCCAACCUAUCAACCAGCUCUAGGCGCGCUCUAAGCCAAUUUUUACAUGACUAAAGUUACAGAUACAGAUGAAAAUGAAUGCUUCUUCAAAAAGUGUAUCUAAAUGCACAACGAGUAUUUUUUUUUGUGACGACAGAGACGCUUCUGACGCAUAUUUUUAUUUGAUGCGAUUAAUAUUCGCGUACGGCUACGGUUGAAUUCGAGGCAUAAACUACUGAGAAGUGAUUUUCAGUUUUUUUUACAUAAAUUCGCGAAUGUUUUUUUCUCAAUAGAAAUCGAUAAUAAAACAAUAUAAACACAUGUGGACUUAAUGCAGUUUGCCCAAGGCAAGUUAGUGGAUUCAAACAUUUGCUUGGUAAUAGGCCAAAAUAGUGUAGUUUUAGCUUCUUCCUUGGAUUCUUCAAAGGCUACAUAAUGACCGAUUAUAAUAUAGCUUUUAGCUAACCAGAGGAGCUUAUAGGUUUGGGGGCGGUAUAUCUGAAAAGGUUCGGCAAUAGUUACUCUUUGGUCAUAUUUCUUAAAAAUUAUAACAAUAAUGCAAAAACCUAUCUGAGCUGAUAUACAUUACCCUUCACAAUUGUAAGACCUGAAGAUUCUCUUGGAACACUGCUUAAAAGUCUCUGUUUUGAAAGCUAUUUAUUUCCCUAUUUAUAACAAAAUAGCUAUCGGGUCCUCCGAUGCUUGCAAAAGUUAGUAUUCAAAAACAGGAACUUCUUUUAAUAUUAAGGAAUGGCUAUUUGGAAUAACGAAAUAAUAAAGCCAGAGCACCAGGCAUGCAGUAAAAUAAAAAUAAUAACUAUAGGCUAUUUGUUAGGUAUCGGUUAAUCUUGUAUCAAACGUUUUAGUCUAUAUAUAUAUAACUCCCUAGCACUAGAGACUCGUUACUCCUUAUUCGUGCUAUAAUAGUAUUUGUCGAUGAAAACUGCUGUAUACGGCGGCACAUAAUGAAGUACUUUCAGAUCUAAUGUCCUCCUUCGGUUUGCCCCAUUUGCGAUUACGCAGCGUCUUACUCUUGCCGGUGCUUGCGCGUCACGGCAGGAACAAACGUUUGGUUGUUCUUUUUCCAUUAUUUUGCGCCAAGGCUUAGCGGUAAGUACGACUGUUGUUAUUUCACUGAAGUAAUUAUGAUUGGGGAUGUUGUUGUGUUAGUAUGAUAGAGCGCGUGGAUCUCUUACCUGAUAGUGGCAACGGCUGUGAAGAUCAUCAUGGAAGAGCGUUGCUGACGACAACAAUGAUGAGAGAAAUUAACAAUACUGAUGACACGAUUGCGGCCGGACAAAAAGCACCGCUAGAAUCGAGCGAUGCGACGGAUUUCACAUUCAUGGUGUCCGCAAUGCUAGCAAAAGCUAGAAAGAUUAGCCCCUUUUGAGCUGGAACGUUCACAUCGCUAAAACGAGCAUAACGUUAGUAUUGCCCAGGGCUGAAUGACCCUAAUGAGGGCAACAACUGCAGGCCGGAUCAAAGUAAUCAUCAUUGUAUUUCGUUUCAGCAAU
This 2383-nucleotide long non-coding RNA is filed under the name Varroa destructor (honeybee mite). RNAcentral describes it as "uncharacterized LOC111247319". Lineage: Eukaryota; Metazoa; Arthropoda; Arachnida; Mesostigmata; Varroidae. The record is from RNAcentral.